GAUGAACGCUGGCGGCGUGCCUAAUACAUGCAAGUCGAGCGAACAGACGAGGAACUUGCUCCUCUGACGUUAGCGGCGGACGGGUGAGUAACACGUGGAUAACCUACCUAUAAGACUGGGAUAACUUCGGGAAACCGGAGCUAAUACCGGAUAAUAUAUUGAACCGCAUGGUUCACUAGUGAAAGACGGUUUUGCUGUCACUUAUAGAUGGAUCCGCGCCGCAUUGGCUAGUUGGUAAGGUAACGGCUUACCAAGGCGACGAUGCGUAGCCGACCUGAGAGGGUGAUCCGCCACACUGGAACUGAAACACGGUCCAGACUCCUACGGUAGGCAGCAGUAGGGAAUCUUCCGCAAUGGGCGAAAGCCUGACGGAGCAACGCCGCGUGAAUGAUGAAGGUCUUCGGAUCUUAAAGCUCUGUUAUUAGGUAAGAACAAAUGUGUAAGUAACUAUGCACGUCUUGACUGUACCUACUCAGAAAUCCCCGGCUAACUACGUG
Molecule: ribosomal RNA, 497 nt
Filed under: uncultured bacterium
Lineage: Bacteria
Description: partial 16S ribosomal RNA
Rfam family: Bacterial small subunit ribosomal RNA
Source: RNAcentral